UUACCUGGCCUUGACAUACUAAGAACUUUCCAGAGAUGGAUUGGUGCCUUCGGGAACUUAGAUACAGGUGCUUCAUGGCUGUCGUCAGCUCGUGUCGUGAGAUGUUGGGUUAAGUCCCGCAACGAGCGCAACCCUUUUCCUUAUUGCCAGCGGGUUAAGCCGGGAACUUUAAGGAUACUGCCAGUGACAAACUGGAGGAAGGCGGGGACGACGUCAAGUCAUCAUGGCCCUUACGGCCAGGGCUACACACGUGCUACAAUGGUCGGUACAAAGGGUUGCUACCUCGCGAGAGGAUGCUAAUCUCAAAAAGCCGAUCGUAGUCCGGAUCGCAGUCUGCAACUCGACUGCGUGAAGUCGGAAUCGCUAGUAAUCGCGGAUCAGAAUGCCGCGGUGAAUACGUUCCCGGGCCUUGUACACACCGCCCGUCACACCAUGGGAGUUUGUUGCACCAGAAGUAGGUAGUCUAACCGCAAGGAGGACGCUUACCACGGUGUGGCCGAUGACUGGGGUGAAGUCGUAACAAGGUAGGCGUAGAUGA
This 538-nucleotide ribosomal RNA is filed under the name uncultured bacterium. RNAcentral's name for it is "bacterial SSU rRNA". It matches the Rfam family "Bacterial small subunit ribosomal RNA", at positions 971 to 1509 of the family's 1533-position model. The record is from RNAcentral.